RNAcentral lists this ribosomal RNA (254 nucleotides) under uncultured bacterium. RNAcentral's name for it is "partial 16S ribosomal RNA". It matches the Rfam family "Bacterial small subunit ribosomal RNA", at positions 524 to 776 of the family's 1533-position model. The record is from RNAcentral.
GACGUAGGGCGCGAGCGUUGUCCGGAUUUAUUGGGCGUAAAGAGCUCGUAGGCGGUGUGUCGCGUCGGCCGUGAAAACCUGCAGCUUAACUGUGGGCUUGCGGUCGAUACGGGCAUCACUGGAGUUCGGCAGGGGAGACUGGAAUUCCUGGUGUAGCGGUGAAAUGCGCAGAUAUCAGGAGGAACACCGGUGGCGAAGGCGGGUCUCUGGGCCGAUACUGACGCUGAGGAGCGAAAGUGUGGGGAGCGAACAGG